GAUUACACCACUGCACUCCAGCUUGGGCGACAGAGUGAGACUCUGUUUCAAAAAAAAAAAAAAUUAGCGUUCACAAUUAUGAUCCUGAAUUAUUAAAGAACAUUAAACUAUGAUUGCUAUAUUUUUGUAUAGCACCAUUGUCCAUUAAGAGGUGUGGGUAUCAUGAUACUAGACAUAAAAUAAGGAGAGGUAGCUCAAUACAAUAUUUGGUUCUACUAUAAAUAGCAUUUAUACUGCUGUAAUAAUAUCUACACUAGUUAUUGAAUUACACAACUUGUAAAAUUGAAUUAUAGACAAAUUAUGGAGAAAUUAACAGUAGUUUCAGAAUAUAGUGUAAAUAUUAUUAAUCUGUGUAGGUCAAAGUACAGCUAUAGUUGACAGAGAUGGCCAGGUGGAAAUGGGAUAAAGAGAGACAAAAGCAGUAGGCACAUCAAGAGCCAACAUGGGAAGUGAAGAAAUGCACUCUCUGGUUUGUGAAAGAAGUAGUUGAAGGUUAACUGCGUUGCUUAAAAAUGCCAUGAUUCCAAGCGGAGAAACUGAGAAAGGUAAUAGAACCAUUUUGGAGGGUGGGAAAAUCAGAUGACAGAGAGACAGAGAGAGAAAUGGGAGAAAG
Sapajus apella (tufted capuchin) is the source of this 613-nucleotide long non-coding RNA. RefSeq lists it as uncharacterized. The record is from RefSeq and is a predicted model, not a curated record. Lineage: Eukaryota; Metazoa; Chordata; Mammalia; Primates; Cebidae. The transcript has 2 exons.